GAAGAGGAGCCUGCGGCGGAUUAGCUAGUUGGUAGGGUAACGGCUUACCAAGGCGACGACCCGUAGCCGGCCUGAGAGGGCGGUCGGCCACACUGACACUGACAUACGGGUCAGACCCCUACGGGAGGCAGCAGUCGGGAAUUUUGGGCAAUGGGCGAAAGCCUGACCCAGCAACGCCGCGUGAAGGAUGAAAUCCCUCGGGAUGUAAACUUCGCAAGAAUGGGAAGAAUUAGCGAGCGCUAAUACCGCUCGUGAUGACGGUACCAUUUGUAAGCUCCGGCUAACUCCGUGCCAGCAGCCGCGGUAAUACGGGGGGAGCAAGCGUUGUUCGGAUUUACUGGGCGUAAAGGGCGCGUAGGCGGUCAGCACAAGUCAGUUGUGAAAUCUCCGGGCUUAACUCGGAAAGGUCAACUGAUACUGUGCGACUAGAGUGCGGAAGGGGCAACUGGAAUUCUCGGUGUAGCGGUGAAAUGCGUAGAUAUCGAGAGGAACACCUGCGGCGAAGGCGGGUUGCUGGGCCGACACUGACGCUGAGGCGCGAAAGCCAGGGGAGCGAACGGGAUUAGAUACCCCGGUAGUCCUGGCCUUAAACGAUGGAUGCUUGGUGUCUGGGGUUUUAUAGUCCCCGGGUGCCGCAGCUAACGCGUUAAGCAUCCCGCCUGGGGAGUACGGUCGCAAGACUGAAACUCAAAGGAAUUGACGGGGACCCGCACAAGCGGUGGAGCAUGUGGUUCAAUUCGACGCAACGCGAAGAACCUUACCAGGGCUAGAAUGCCUCUGACAACCCCAGAGAUGGGGCCUCUUAGGGAAACCUAGGCGGAGUGCAAGGUGCUGCAUGGCUGUCGUCAGCUCGUGUCGUGAGAUGUUGGGUUAAGUCCCGCAACGAGCGCAACCCUUAUCGAUAGUUGCUAGCGGUUCGGCCGAGCACUCUAUUGAGACUGCC
RNAcentral lists this ribosomal RNA (943 nucleotides) under uncultured Acidobacteriota bacterium. RNAcentral's name for it is "bacterial SSU rRNA". It matches the Rfam family "Bacterial small subunit ribosomal RNA", at positions 221 to 1153 of the family's 1533-position model. Lineage: Bacteria; Pseudomonadati; Acidobacteriota. The record is from RNAcentral.